This is a long non-coding RNA of Danaus plexippus (monarch butterfly), 550 nucleotides long. RefSeq lists it as uncharacterized. The transcript has 2 exons. NCBI's taxonomy places the organism in Eukaryota, Metazoa, Arthropoda, Insecta, Lepidoptera, Nymphalidae. The record is from RefSeq and is a predicted model, not a curated record.
GCAGUUGUGCCAUAUUCGUAUCAUGUUCAAGAUUUGUAUGAGACAAAGGAACCUAAUUGUAAAUGUAGUGCUCGUCUUCACAAUUUAUUCUGUAUUCAUUAUUUACAUUUGGUCUCUGUGUUUUAUACUUUAUAGUCCAAUACCUCAAGGACAUGAGCUUGUAUAAAUAUUGGCGAAAUAAUAAAGAAUAGUACAGUGUGAUUGCGAAACCAAAAGAAGAUCGGAGCUUUUCUGUCAAUAAAAUAAACCCAUCGGUGCCUUAACAUGAUCUCUAAACUGAUUAUACUGUUCGUCUUGUUUGCUCUGGCUAUGGCUCGACCUCAGCUAUACCCUGGUUACAGCGGUUACAGCGGUUACUCUUCCGGUUAUCCCAGUUACAAUGGUUAUUCUGCAUAUUCAAAUCCUCUUGCAUAUUCUGGAUACCCAGCUUAUUCUGGUUACCCAUAUAACUAUGGUUAUGGUGUUUACUAAAUUUAGUAAACAACACCGAAAAAUCUGUAAAAGAUAAAUUGUUUUUUUCCUUCCAUUAAAGACAAGAUACAUAUUUUUA